UGGAUCGGAGACAGGUGNUGCAUGGCUGUCGUCAGCUCGUGUCGUGAGAUGUUGGGUUAAGUCCCGCAACGAGCGCAACCCUCNCCCUUAGUUGCCNGCAUUCAGUUGGGCACUCUAAGGGGACUGCCGGUGAUAAGCCGGAGGAAGGUGGGGAUGACGUCAAGUCCUCAUGGCCCUUACGGGCUGGGCUACACACGUGCUACAAUGGUGGUGACAGUGGGCAGCGAGACCGCGAGGUCGAGCUAAUCUCCAAAAGCCAUCUCAGUUCGGAUUGCACUCUGCAACUCGAGUGCAUGAAGUUGGAAUCGCUAGUAAUCGUGGAUCAGCAUGCCACGGUGAAUACGUUCCCGGGCCUUGUACACACCGCCCGUCACACCAUGGGAGUUGGUUUUACCUGAAGNUGCUGUGCUAACCGCAAGGAGGCAGGCAACCACGGUAGGGUCAGCGANUNGGGNGAAGUCGUAACAAGGUAGCCGUAA
Molecule: ribosomal RNA, 479 nt
Filed under: uncultured Bartonella sp.
Lineage: Bacteria; Pseudomonadati; Pseudomonadota; Alphaproteobacteria; Hyphomicrobiales; Bartonellaceae
Description: bacterial SSU rRNA
Rfam family: Bacterial small subunit ribosomal RNA
Source: RNAcentral